Aedes aegypti (yellow fever mosquito) is the source of this 74-nucleotide non-coding RNA. The record is from Rfam. Lineage: Eukaryota; Metazoa; Arthropoda; Insecta; Diptera; Culicidae.
CCUCUCAUGGCGUAGUGGUUAACGAGCCCCAACUAGAGAUCGGGGAGUCGUGAGUUCGAUUCUCACUGAGAAGA